UACAGAGGUCCCAAGCGUUGUUCGGAUUCACUGGGCGUAAAGGGUGCGUAGGUGGUCGGGUAAGUCUGAUGUGAAAUCUCGGAGCUCAACUCCGAAACGGCAUUGGAUACUAUUCGGCUUGAGGGUUGGAGGGGGGACUGGGAAUUCUCGGGUGGUAGCAGUGAAAUGCGUAGAUAUCGAGAGGAACACCAGUGGCGAAGGCGAGUCCCUGGACAACUCCUGACACUAAGGGCAACGAAAGCUAGGGGAGCAAACAGG
Molecule: ribosomal RNA, 258 nt
Filed under: uncultured bacterium
Lineage: Bacteria
Description: partial 16S ribosomal RNA
Rfam family: Bacterial small subunit ribosomal RNA
Source: RNAcentral